CUUCCUUCCUUUCAUCUCUCUGUUCUGUCUUACAUCAUCUCACUCCCUUCUCUCUCUCUCUCUCUGUCUCUCUCUCUCUCUCUCUCUCUCUUUGAAAUAUGCAAUACUUUAACAACUUACUGGUUUUGACUGUUAGGUUUCUAUUUACAUUUAGCAAUUACCAAUAUAUUUAGUGAAACAAAUAUAUGCUUUGGAUCAUAUAAAUAGAACCCUCGGUUAUUCUUGUAGCUUUCCUGUUACUAUUCAUGUGAUCUUGGACAAGUUUACGCAGUUUUUAUUUAACCUUUUUCCAGUUUGCCCUGAGAAUACUUGCCAGCAGUGCUCGUGGCUGCAGCAUUUACCCCAAGCAGAACUAUAUUUCUUUGGCCAGAAGACUUCCUUUAAACGUCUCCCUCUUUCACCUCCACUGGAGUGUAGUGGUAUAGCUACAGCUCACUGCAGCCUUGACUUCCUGGCCUCAAGCCUUCCUCUUACCUCAGCCUCUAGAGCAGGCUCAUGAUCAUAUUUCGGUAAUUGGAACACAGCCAUUCCAAGGCUUUUAGCAGUUUCUUGUACAUUAAUCAUCUUGUUCCUGUCUAGACACUAGCUAUGAAUGUGAAGAAGCCAUUCUGGACAUUCCAGACCCAGCAGAUGCCACAUGGAACAGUACUGAGGUCCAAAACACAUGGUUUUCCACCAUAUCCUGACAAUUGAACUACCCUGGCUGAAGCCCAGACAUCAUGGCACAAAGACAAGCUGUCAUCACUGAACCCUGACAAAGUUCUUGACCCACAGAAUUGUAAGCCUAAUAAAAGUGGAUUUUUAAAAAAAU
This 811-nucleotide long non-coding RNA is filed under the name Homo sapiens (human). RNAcentral describes it as "HSALNT0191606". Lineage: Eukaryota; Metazoa; Chordata; Mammalia; Primates; Hominidae. The record is from RNAcentral.